Molecule: ribosomal RNA, 438 nt
Filed under: Aeromonas hydrophila
Lineage: Bacteria; Pseudomonadati; Pseudomonadota; Gammaproteobacteria; Aeromonadales; Aeromonadaceae
Description: bacterial SSU rRNA
Rfam family: Bacterial small subunit ribosomal RNA
Source: RNAcentral
CAUGCAAGUCGAGCGGCAGCGGGAAAGUAGCUUGCUACUUUUGCCGGCGAGCGGCGGACGGGUGAGUAAUGCCUGGGAAAUUGCCCAGUCGAGGGGGAUAACAGUUGGAAACGACUGCUAAUACCCCAUACGCCCUACGGGGGAAAGCAGGGGACCUUCGGGCCUUGCGCGAUUGGAUAUGCCCAGGUGGGAUUAGCUAGUUGGUGAGGUAAUGGCUCACCAAGGCGACGAUCCCUAGCUGGUCUGAGAGGAUGAUCAGCCACACUGGAACUGAGACACGGUCCAGACUCCUACGGGAGGCAGCAGUGGGGAAUAUUGCACAAUGGGGGAAACCCUGGUGCAGCCAUGCCGCGUGUGUGAAGAAGGCCUUCGGGUUGUAAAGCACUUUCAGCCAGGAGGAAAGGUUGGCGCCUAAUACGUGUCAACUGUGACGUUACU